Molecule: long non-coding RNA, 2222 nt
Organism: Panthera uncia (snow leopard)
Lineage: Eukaryota; Metazoa; Chordata; Mammalia; Carnivora; Felidae
Exons: 3
Source: RefSeq, a predicted model, not a curated record
GAAAACUAUUUGUGUCAGGCUGGCUACUGUGUGAUCACUCCCAUGGAUGUGGGUUGGGCCAUGUCACAAUUAACAGAAAUGAGUGCAUGAAGGCAGAAAUUACUGGAAGGGAGGUCAGGAUUCAACGAAGACAUCCAGACGGCUCUGUGUGGUGUUUUGAGAGCAGCCCCUGUUGAAGCUCUUCUGUAGGUAAUCCCUAGGAAUGACAACACAUGUGUCACAUACCAAAAGAGUUGCUACUCUGUUCACCCCAUCAAAGCAUCUGUGAAUUCUGGUUCCUAAGUGAAUAUGCAAAUCAACAGUAGCUUCAUUUGAUAUUUUUCUUGCUCUUAGUCAGAUUCUAACCUUUCCUGUUGUUCAUGUACAUGAAAAAGAAAAAUGCACGCGUUUAUCAAAAAACAAAACAAAACAGAAAAAAACAGAAACAAAAACAAAAAUCCCUGCGCCUCUGUCCUUUGAGGCUGGGUUAGUUGUCUAGGGCCCUCAUUACACUCUCAUUUACGACAUAACAUAAUUCCCCUACUUGUGGGUUUCAUCUCUAGGACAAAAGCUUUUUGGUGGUAAAGACGAUAACCAUUUUUAACCCCAAGACCUGGAGUGUAGGUGCUUCAAGAAAGUUAUUUAAAUGAUUGAAUGAGGUCAUGAUAACAGAAAACUUUUAAAAAAUUGUACCUAUAUCCAUACAUAGACGUAGGUAAAAAAAAAUCUAUCCUCUACAACUCCAUCAUGUUUCAGUUUUGUGUAUUCAUAUUUUUCACUAGUGUGGUCUCACUUUUCAAUCUAAGUAACUGUCCUGACUUGGCUAUUCUAUUAAAUGAACACAUGGAAUUGUGCUAUUUUCCUUGGUUGGGCGUGUUACACCUUCACACUGGAGAAAAAAAAAUGUCCAUGCUAGAGGAAGAUUUGAUGUGUUCUAAUGAGGCUCACUGUCUCCAAGCUGGUGGUUCUCACCCUAAGAGCUCUUCUUGUCACCCGGUGUGACUCCGUCUAAGUGUUAGCCAGUUGGUGAAUGAGAUUUUGGAAAAGUUCCAAGCUGCAGUUAAUUAUGUGCUUUUUUCAAAACUUGACUUUACUGUCUUCAUGGGUGCCUUCUCUCUAUUUAGUAAGUGGCUUGUUUUGCUUUUUUGCACAUCUAAUCUUACUUACAGUUUUCUUCCAAAAAUAGAAACACAAUAUAGUACUGAGGCAAAAUGCACAUUGCAUUAAUUUAUGCAAAGGUUUAAAAAGGCAGUGAGAUAACAUAUGUAACAGUGCUCUAAAAACAACAAAGACUCCUACAACUAAAUGGAAUUUAUCAUUUUUAUUAUCAUGCAUUUACUUUUGAAAAAAUACAUGGGUAUGUCUGACUUUUGAACUUGUGACAUGAGACAUUUCGGUAUUUUUUUGUGGAGUUUUGAUGGGCUUUUCUGUUGUUGUUUUUUUUUUUCUUUUAAUACAAGAUGGGUUGUAUGUUUGUAUGCUUUCUAGAGAUUUGCAGUUUUUUGAGUGGUUUUUUUUUUUUUUUUGCUUUUCAGUUUAUUCCUUUCACUUUGGUUUUGCUUGUUCAUGCCUAUAGAGAAUAAACUUUAUGAUAAAGCUGAUACAUCAACUCUAAAAACGAAAAGUCUGUGGGAUUUGGGGGGGGGGGUUGGAAAAAGAACAAGCUGAGGAAAAUUAAAUAGUUCCCAAAGAGCAUUUUACUUUCUGAGGUAUAAUCCCAAAGAAAAUUGUUAUAAUGUAAAAGACUCGGAAUAAGAACUCUUAAUAUUAGGUUCAUGUAAACUAUGGUCAAAGGAGCUAAGAAAUUGAUGACCACAGACAAAAUCGGUUGCUGUGUUUAAGACAUUUCAUGGGUGUAUUCUGAAGUAGAGUCUUCAGUUGGUUAGGUACUUGGGCUGUCUGGGUAUUAUUGAUCUAUUGAAGACAAAGAGGAAAAUGUUCUGAUCGGUAUGCUAAGAAGAGUUUGCUUCCUAGGGAAGGCAGGCAGUUUCAUGCUUCCUAACUUUUCAUUGCAAUUGUUAAGCCCACCUAGGAAGACAGAGGUUUGAAUUAUUAAAGAAACUGAGUUUUCUAGCCUUGAAGCAGAAUUUUUAAUAUUCUGCAAAUUUUAUAACAUUUUGUUUGGAAAUAUACAUUUCCCCUCAUGUUUAGAGACAGACAGAAAGAAAAUUCACUCAGGAGUGAGAAAAGUUAACCAUGACAUUAAAAUUCAGUUGAUUGUAUUUAGGUGUAUCUUGGGUUUU